GAUAAGUUGUGUGGUAAAAGCGUUUUCUUUUUUCAGAGGGCUUCCAAGGACUCUGCGCAUGGUUGAGCCAGUUUUCUUUGCUGCUGUGACCGAGGCGGAGCUGGUCUGAGGGAAGAGAUAUGCUUCACGAUCAGCCAUCAACUUGUGAGCAUACCUUGGUGUCAAACAGAAAUUUCUUAACGUGGCUGCUAUGCCGGUAUUCCUCCAGGUCCAAAUCAAUGGCUUUGUACAUUUUUCUCUCUUCUUCCGUAAGAGGAGCCACUUGGUCAUAGAUUCCAGGGAUCAGAAUAUGACCAGAUGAGUCCACCAGGCUGCCUGCAAGGGACACAGGAAACAAAGCCAGGGAGGGCUUACGAGUGCACUGAGGUUCCGGCCCGGGCGCGGAGGCCCGGGUGACUCCUGUGGCCGCAGCAGGCCUUGUGACGGGCCCUGGUCCCCCUGGGCAGAGUCGCUAGCAGCACUCACGUCUCCAAAGGACAGAGCUGGUCUCCAGGCAGACUCAUCCUGAGCCAGACCCAUUUUAAUGUCUACCUCAUCAGUGCAGGGAUGGAAAUACAGGGGUCUGCGUACAUGUGACUGGGUAGGACUUAGCUGCAUGACACUGGUCCUCAAUUGUACCUUCUGUAUCAAAAACAAGGUUCGUUUUUUAAAUGUUCAUCUAUGCUGAGUUAAAAAGUAAUAUAUGUUCAUCAUUUAAAAACUUUGUAUGGGUAUGUCUAUACAGCAUUCCUGAGGAACCAAAAAUCAUCAUUCUCAGCUUCCCCCCCAUAAGAACCAUAAUAUAAUAAGUACUCAUCUUCAAUCAAAAGUAUAAAAUCCUUGAGAUCAAGUCUACGAGGCAUACAUGAUGACUACAAAUGCGUUCAUAGUGAAUAGGCAGAUAUACCAGUCUGUUAUUUCUGAAAGAGUUUGGGGAUUCAUAGGAGGGGGGGGGGCGGGGAAUCAUCAAUGAAUAUCUACAGAGGAGGUAGAUUUAGUAAAACACUGCUCACUACCUUGAAAAAAUACUUCUCAAAGCAGCAAGUAGACUAGUGGAGAUGGUGAUAAAUGUAUGCGGGACAUCGAAAUUUCUCUUCGAUCCACGCGGGGACUCUUAUUCAAGUGAAGACACUUCGUAAGACAUAUGCCCCACAGGCGUAAUGAGAUUGUAACUUGACAAUGUCAAAAAGCUACUGUGACGCACUGUACCUUGAGGUCUUCCUGUUAAAGCUGACACUUGACAAAGCUCGGGGCUGGAGGCUCUGUGAGCACCGGUGUGUCCCCCCAGUUACGGGACACCGGCCGUGCUCAAAGAACCAGAGGAGUGCUGGGGGACGCUGAGGAUACGUUAAGACCCUGCUUUCGUCAGCAAUGGUGCCAUCUGUGGCCACACAGGCUGAAUAGCAAGUGUGACCCGGCACAAGCAGACCAGCGGGUGGUCUGGCUGUCUGCGGGCACAACAGGAUCCAAGGCAAACAGGCUACCAAAACCUACAGGACCAGUGGUAGGGUGGUACGUAACAGGUGUCCCAGCACUCUGAGGCCAUCCUCGAAAGCAAGACUCCAAGUUUCGAGGGCAUCAAGGCAGCAAAAUGAGAAGGGAGGUCUUCGCUGUUCUGGUUUUCGACCACCUCCUCCUUAGCCCCUCCCCGGGUCCUCUGUGUACCUCACCCAAACUUCCACAGCCACCCUGGGGAUGGUAUUGCAGACCGCUAUCCACCUCCCUGCGCUACUGAGUUAUGGGAUUCGCCGCAUUUAGCCCAGCACAGCCUGUGUGAAAUAAGUGAUACAAACCGAUUGAUAAAACUGAACUUAAAAACUAAGCUGGGUGCCAAGGGAUUGGGACUGGCCGUCACUGGUUUGCAGGCCACCCUCUGCACCCUCGCCAAAAUCAAAACCGAACCUAAAAGCACCACCAGGAAUCACCAGGUCCUCCCUUCGGGGCACGUCCCUAAAGGUCUGCUGACACUCUUGUACGCAAGGACAGAGCUGCAAAAGUGCACGAAAGACAGACCCCGUCCGUAAUGCGGCUGGAAAGACACAGGGUAAAGAAACACCUGAGGGUCCAUGAGCAAAGAGCUGUGAAGGGGAGGAGACACAGGAGCAAGGAGCAGGCAGGGCACCAGCCAGGUUGUGUGGGACGCGACCGGCACGGUCUCGAUGGUGAGAAGAGAUGGGUGUUCGAAACGUCAAGGUCAAAACAAUGAAGACCUGAGACACGCAAGCAGCAGGAUGCUCAGUGUCCAUACGGGACACUGAGCCGGGACAUUGUUCCUGUCAUUUAGGCAGCCGUGCCAGGCAUCACCGUGGGGAUGGGAGUCAGGGGUCCUUGGCAAAUCAGGCUGUGACGUGAGCAGGGGCCUUGCCUCACGCUCACUGCACUUGGCCGGGGCCCGGGUGCGGUUUCGAGUCUUGGAGCCUGUUUUCUCAGGAUGCAGGACAGCCGUCCCAGCUGCUGGCGGGACAGAGCACAGCCAACACCCCCCCGAGUCCCCCGCCCCCUGCCCCGCGCACCCACCAGCAGGGAGAUUCACGGGAGGCUCAGCACACGGUGGCCUCCAGGCGCCGCAGGACCGGCCGGAGGGAAGACACCGCGCGCGCGAUCCAUGCUUCUGCCCCACACGGCGUGUUCCCGCUGCGUCUUUGCCCAGUCCUCCAACACCGAACGCGUCGGCAAGAAAAAGGACGUUUGCAAAGAGUUCAUCUCCCCACCCCCUCCUCAUUUCCCACUUGAAAUCACCAUCCUCCGAAUGGCAUGUGCUUUCUGCAGCCACGAGGGCCUCGGCCGGGAGCCCAGUCUGGAAGCGCAGGGGAGGCGGAGGGUGGCGCCUUUGAAAAUGGCAAACGGGAAGCAAAUCAAGUAAUCCUUGAUCCUCAGGAGGCCCCUUGGAAUCUAACGUUUGGUAAAAGCGCCCUGGACCCGGUGACCUCCCUGCUUUGUGGCUUUUAGGUGAGGGCAGGGAGUAGGAAUGCCCACAGAGGAAUGCCCAGGAGCAGAGGGCUCUGUGCAGACAGUAUGUCCACCCCCACCUCCUCCGACCUCCCAUGUACACCCCACUCUAAGCCUCUUUGAAAACAGGAACUUGCGGUGUUCCCGGGGCCAGGGGGAGCUCCCUGUAUCCCCCUGGUGGAGACUCCAUGCCUUUCAUACCGUUGGCACUCAACACAUGUUUGUGACUCAUUAGCACUCAUGGUUACCAGGAUCACACAGACAAGGAGCGAGGACAGAGAGAUUAGGAACUUGCACAAGGUCACACAGCAGCACCUGACUAACGUGUAGGGCACCUGCCAGUCUGCAGGGGGGAGAACCCAACAGAACCCGCUCUCCCUGACAUCCUAACGUGCAGCGGCCCUCAGGGAGAGCCCGGGAGCCAAGAUGCUGUCAGGGUCAGCAAGCAAAAUCCCUGCUUGUCAUCUGAUCAGUGCUGCAGUUCAACCGUAUGUCCUUCAGGUCUUUCUACAAAGCAUAUGAAAGCCACAGAGAAGACCCAAUCCAGAGUCACUUCAUUAUGGAUUAUUUGAUUUGUCUCAAAAAUAAAAGAAAGUGAAACCA
This is a long non-coding RNA of Felis catus (domestic cat), 3531 nucleotides long. RefSeq lists it as uncharacterized. The transcript is spliced from 2 exons. The record is from RefSeq and is a predicted model, not a curated record. NCBI's taxonomy places the organism in Eukaryota, Metazoa, Chordata, Mammalia, Carnivora, Felidae.